GUAGGGAAUAUUGGGCAAUGGAUGCAAGUCUGACCCAGCCAUCCCGCGUGCCGGAAGAAGGCCCUCAGGGUUGUAAACGGCUUUUGACGGUGAAGAAUCGACAGGAUGCGUCCUGUUUUGACGGUAGCCGUUGAAUAAGCACCGGCUAACUCCGUGCCAGCAGCCGCGGUAAUACGGAGGGUGCGAGCGUUGUCCGGAUUUAUUGGGUUUAAAGGGUGCGUAGGCUGGAAGGUCAGUCAGCGGUGAAAAGCUGUCGCUUAACGAUAGUCUUGCCGCAGAUACUUCCUUUCUUGGAUGAGGAGGAGGCCACUGGAACGGAUGGUGUAGCGGUGAAAUGCAUAGAUAUCAUCCAGAACACCGAUUGCGAAGGCAGGUGGCUGUACCUUAAUCGACGCUGAUGCACGAAAGCAUGGGGAGCAAACAGGAUUAGAAACCCCGGUAGUC
This 444-nucleotide ribosomal RNA is filed under the name uncultured bacterium. RNAcentral's name for it is "partial 16S ribosomal RNA". It matches the Rfam family "Bacterial small subunit ribosomal RNA", at positions 354 to 795 of the family's 1533-position model. The record is from RNAcentral.